AUUGAACGCUGGCGGCAUGCUUUACACAUGCAAGCCGAACGGUAACAGGUUAAGCUGACGAGUGGCGAACGGGUGAGUAAUGCAUCGGAACGUGCCCGGUCGUGGGGGAUAACGCAGCGAAAGCUGCGCUAAUACCGCAUACGAUCUAAGGAUGAAAGCGGGGGACCGUAAGGCCUCGCGCGAUCGGAGCGGCCGAUGUCAGAUUAGGUAGUUGGUGGGGUAAAGGCUCACCAAGCCAACGAUCUGUAGCUGGUCUGAGAGGACGACCAGCCACACUGGGACUGAGACACGGCCCAGACUCCUACGGGAGGCAGCAGUGGGGAAUUUUGGACAAUGGGCGAAAGCCUGAUCCAGCAAUGCCGCGUGCAGGAAGAAGGCCUUCGGGUUGUAAACUGCUUUUGUACGGAGCGAAAAGGUCUCCUCUAAUACAGGGGGCUCAUCACGGUACCGUAAGAAUAAGCACCGGCUAACUACGUGCCAGCAGCCGCAGUAA
RNAcentral lists this ribosomal RNA (493 nucleotides) under uncultured bacterium. RNAcentral's name for it is "partial 16S ribosomal RNA". It matches the Rfam family "Bacterial small subunit ribosomal RNA", at positions 30 to 523 of the family's 1533-position model. The record is from RNAcentral.